CAGGCUUAACACAUGCAAGUCGAGGGGCAUCAGGAAGAAAGCUUGCUUUCUUUGCUGGCGACCGGCGCACGGGUGAGUAACACGUAUCCAACCUGCCCUUUACUCGGGGAUAGCCUUUCGAAAGAAAGAUUAAUACCCGAUGGCAUAAUGAUUCCGCAUGGUUUCAUUAUUAAAGGAUUCCGGUAAAGGAUGGGGAUGCGUUCCAUUAGGUUGUUGGUGAGGUAACGGCUCACCAAGCCUUCGAUGGAUAGGGGUUCUGAGAGGAAGGUCCCCCACAUUGGAACUGAGACACGGUCCAAACUCCUACGGGAGGCAGCAGUGAGGAAUAUUGGUCAAUGGGCGCUAGCCUGAACCAGCCAAGUAGCGUGAAGGAUGAAGGCUCUAUGGGUCGUAAACUUCUUUUAUAUAAGAAUAAAGUGCAGUAUGUAUACUGUUUUGUAUGUAUUAUAUGAAUAAGGAUCGGCUAACUCCGUGCCAGCAGCCGCGGUAAUACGGAGGAUCCGAGCGUUAUCCGGAUUUAUUGGGUUUAAAGGGAGCGUAGGUGGACUGGUAAGUCAGUUGUGAAAGUUUGCGGCUCAACCGUAAAAUUGCAGUUGAUACUGUCAGUCUUGAGUACAGUAGAGGUGGGCGGAAUUCGUGGUGUAGCGGUGAAAUGCUUAGAUAUCACGAAGAACUCCGAUUGCGAAGGCAGCUCACUGGACUGCAACUGACACUGAUGCUCGAAAGUGUGGGUAUCAAACAGGAUUAGAUACCCUGGUAGUCCACACAGUAAACGAUGAAUACUCGCUGUUUGCGAUAUACAGUAAGCGGCCAAGCGAAAGCAUUAAGUAUUCCACCUGGGGAGUACGCCGGCAACGGUGAAACUCAAAGGAAUUGACGGGGGCCCGCACAAGCGGAGGAACAUGUGGUUUAAUUCGAUGAUACGCGAGGAACCUUACCCGGGCUUAAAUUGCAGUGGAAUGAUGUGGAAACAUGUCAGUGAGCAAUCACCGCUGUGAAGGUGCUGCAUGGUUGUCGUCAGCUCGUGCCGUGAGGUGUCGGCUUAAGUGCCAUAACGAGCGCAACCCUUAUCUUUAGUUACUAACAGGUUAUGCUGAGGACUCUAGAGAGACUGCCGUCGUAAGAUGUGAGGAAGGUGGGGAUGACGUCAAAUCAGCACGGCCCUUACGUCCGGGGCUACGCACGUGUUACAAUGGGGGGUACAGAAGGCAGCUAGCGGGUGACCGUAUGCUAAUCCCAAAAGCCUCUCUCAGUUCGGAUCGAAGUCUGCAACCCGACUUCGUGAAGCUGGAUUCGCUAGUAAUCGCGCAUCAGCCACGGCGCGGUGAAUACGUUCCCGGGCCUUGUACACACCGCCCGUCAAGCCAUGGGAGCCGGGGGUACCUGAAGUACGUAACCGCAAGGAUCGUCCUAGGGUAAAACUGGUGACUGGGGCUAAAU
RNAcentral lists this ribosomal RNA (1440 nucleotides) under uncultured organism. Its description in RNAcentral is "SSU rRNA". It matches the Rfam family "Bacterial small subunit ribosomal RNA". The record is from RNAcentral.